RNAcentral lists this ribosomal RNA (424 nucleotides) under uncultured prokaryote. RNAcentral describes it as "bacterial SSU rRNA". It matches the Rfam family "Bacterial small subunit ribosomal RNA", at positions 355 to 796 of the family's 1533-position model. The record is from RNAcentral.
UGGGGAAUAUUGGACAAUGGGCGAAAGCCUGAUCCAGCAAUGCCGCGUGAGUGAUGAAGGCCUUCGGGUUGUAAAGCUCUUUUACCAGGGAUGAUAAUGACAGUACCUGGAGAAUAAGCUCCGGCUAACUCCGUGCCAGCAGCCGCGGUAAUACGGAGGGAGCUAGCGUUGUUCGGAAUUACUGGGCGUAAAGCGCGCGUAGGCGGUUACUCAAGUCAGGGGUGAAAUCCCGGGGCUCAACUCCGGAACUGCCCUUGAAACUAGGUGACUGGAAUCUUGGAGAGGCGAGUGGAAUUCCGAGUGUAGAGGUGAAAUUCGUAGAUAUUCGGAAGAACACCAGUGGCGAAGGCGACUCGCUGGACAAGUAUUGACGCUGAGGUGCGAAAGCGUGGGGAGCAAACAGGAUUAGAUACCCCCGUAGUCC